Molecule: ribosomal RNA, 1732 nt
Filed under: Clostridioides difficile
Lineage: Bacteria; Bacillati; Bacillota; Clostridia; Peptostreptococcales; Peptostreptococcaceae
Description: partial 23S ribosomal RNA
Rfam family: Bacterial large subunit ribosomal RNA
Source: RNAcentral
GGGACACGUGAAACCCUGUGGGAAGCAGGAGGGACCACCCUCCAAGGCUAAAUACUACCUAGUGACCGAUAGCGUAUAGUACCGUGAGGGAAAGGUGAAAAGAACCCCGGGAGGGGAGUGAAAUAGAACCUGAAACCCUGCACUUACAAGCUGUGGAAGCACAUUUCUUGUGUGACCGCGUACUUUUUGUAGAACGGGCCAACGAGUUACGUUAAGUAGCAAGGUUAAGCACUUAAGGUGCGGAGCCGUAGCGAAAGCGAGUUUUAACUGAGCGUUCAGUUACUUGACGUAGACCCGAAACCGGGCGACCUACCCAUGAGCAGGAUGAAGCGAAAGUAAAAUUUCGUGGAGGUCCGAACCCACGAGCGUUGAAAAGCUCGGGGAUGACUUGUGGGUAGCGGUGAAAUUCCAAUCGAGCCCGGAGAUAGCUGGUUCUCCCCGAAAUAGCUUUAGGGCUAGCCUCAAGGUGAGAGAUACGGAGGUAGAGCACUGAAUGUCCUAGGGGGUAUUGCACCUACCGAAGACUAUCAAACUCCGAAUGCCGUCAUCUUAUACUUGGGAGUCAGACUGUGGGUGAUAAGAUUCAUAGUCGAAAGGGCAACAGCCCAGAUCGUCAGCUAAGGUCCCUAAAUGUAAGUUAAGUGGUAAAGGAUGUGGGAUUGCACAGACAACCAGGAUGUUGGCUUAGAAGCAGCCACUCAUUCAAAGAGUGCGUAAUAGCUCACUGGUCGAGUGAUCCUGCGCCGAAGAUUUCCGGGGCUAAAACUUACUACCGAAGCUACGGCAUCAGUAAUGAUGGGUAGGGGAGCUUCCCAUACGGGUUGAAGCAUGACCGUAAGGACAUGUGGACAGUAUGGGAGUGAGAAUGUUGGCAUGAGUAGCGAGAUGUGGGUGAGAAUCCCACAGGCCGUAAACCCAAGGUUUCCAGGGGAAGGUUCGUCCGCCCUGGGUUAGUCGGGACCUAAGCUGAGGCCGAAAGGCGUAGGUGAUGGACAACAGGUUGAUAUUCCUGUACUACCGAUAACCGUUUGAGAGAAGGGAUGACACAGUAGGAUAAGCUAAGCACACUGUUGGUUAUGUGUGCCCAAGCAUUGAGGCAGUCAAAGUAGGCAAAUCCGCUUUGAUAAUGCUGGGAUGUGAUGGGGAGCGAAAUUUAGUAGCGAAGUAGCUGAUUUCACACUGUCAAGAAAAGUCUCUAUCGAGGUUAAAGGUACCCGUACCGCAAACCGACACAGGUGGGUGAGGAGAGUAUCCUAAGGCCAGCGAGAGAACUGUUGUUAAGGAACUCGGCAAAAUGACCCCGUAACUUAGGGAUAAGGGGUGCCACCAUCAGGUGGCCGCAGAGAAUAGGCCCAAGCGACUGUUUACCAAAAACAUAGGUUUCUGCUAAGUCGCAAGACGAUGUAUAGGAGCUGACGCCUGCCCGGUGCUGGAAGGUUAAGGGGAUCUGUUAGAGCAAUCGAAGCAGUGAACUUAAGCCCCAGUAAACGGCGGCCGUAACUAUAACGGUCCUAAGGUAGCGAAAUUCCUUGUCGGGUAAGUUCCGACCCGCACGAAAGGCGUAACGAUUUGGGCACUGUCUCAACAACAGACUCGGUGAAAUUGUAAUUCCGGUGAAGAUGCCGGAUACCUGCGACAGGACGGAAAGACCCCAUGGAGCUUUACUGUAGCUUGACAUUGGGUCUUGGUACUACAUGUACAGGAUAGGUGGGAGGCUUUGAAACCAGGACGC